GACCUCGGGUCAGGUAGGAAUACCCGCUGAACUUAAGCAUAUCAAUAAGCGGAGGAAAAGAAACCAACAGGGAUUGCCUCAGUAACGGCGAGUGAAGCGGCAAAAGCUCAAAUUUGAAAUCUGACCCUUCGGGUCCGAGUUGUAAUUUGCAGAGGAUGUUUCGGGUAAGAUUUAGGUCUAAGUUCCUUGGAACAGGACGUCAUAGAGGGUGAGAAUCCCGUACGUGACCGUUGAUCGCACCCAUGUGAAACUCCUUCGACGAGUCGAGUUGUUUGGGAAUGCAGCUCAAAAUGGGUGGUAAAUUUCAUCUAAAGCUAAAUAUUGGCCAGAGACCGAUAGCGCACAAGUAGAGUGAUCGAAAGAUGAAAAGCACUUUGAAAAGAGAGUUAAACAGUAUGUGAAAUUGUUGAAAGGGAAGCGC
RNAcentral lists this ribosomal RNA (421 nucleotides) under uncultured fungus. RNAcentral's name for it is "eukaryotic LSU rRNA". It matches the Rfam family "Eukaryotic large subunit ribosomal RNA", at positions 1 to 422 of the family's 3401-position model. The record is from RNAcentral. Lineage: Eukaryota; Fungi.